GGCUGGUUCUUUAAAUAUGGCAGAGCCAAACCGCUGCACCUCUGAGGUGGCCAUUUUGUAGCUGCACCUUCCUUCCCUUCCAGCUGAACACUGUUCUUGCCUCGUGUAACCGGAUCCACACACUGGAGCAAGGAGGCAGCCGAAACAUAAAGUGUCAGACCCUUCUUGGAAGGCCCCAGAGAGCCAGAUCACAGGAUUAACCAGACACGCUAACAGUUGGAGCAGCUCCUAAAUAUAAAAAGAUUUAGAAGGCAAAGCGCCAUUUCUUCAGCCCAGGGUCAAGGCAUCUCCCAGACCUGUGCCAGACUGAACUUUUGCCUGCCCAGUUCAAACUGCUGCUAGAGGAGGUGUCUACUAGACAAGCUCUGGGUUUGUGGGCCUCCCAUUCUAAUUUGACUAGAUACCCUUUGUGCAGGAUAAGUAACAUAGAACUGGCUGAAAUUCUAUAUCUGCACAGUAGUUUAUGUGCUGGAGAUUACUUCACAAAAUCAGGAUGUACCAAGAGGACUUUGCAUAAGAAGGGGGAUAUUUUUUUUAAAGUUAACGUGAAUCAUCAACUUUAUCACCCUUCCUUCUGU
Molecule: long non-coding RNA, 578 nt
Organism: Mauremys reevesii (Reeves's turtle)
Lineage: Eukaryota; Metazoa; Chordata; Testudines; Geoemydidae
Exons: 3
Source: RefSeq, a predicted model, not a curated record